This 2598-nucleotide ribosomal RNA is filed under the name Triticum aestivum (bread wheat). RNAcentral's name for it is "partial small subunit ribosomal RNA". Lineage: Eukaryota; Viridiplantae; Streptophyta; Magnoliopsida; Poales; Poaceae. The record is from RNAcentral.
AUGAUGGAGGCGGAGGGGGAGGGGGAGGGCUCGCGGUCGAUAAUGGCGGCGGCAGAGGAGGAGGAGGAGGAGUGGAAGCUGGCGCGUGAGUCCAAGUGCCGUUUUCGCCAUUGCGAGUGCAGCUGGCGUCUUUUCUGCUCCCCCCGGAUCCCCCGCGUCGCCCCCGGGAGGGACUACUCCUCCAUCCCCGCCGGCGCCGACCAUCGGCCCGCCUGGUCGCUGCUCAUCGGCCUCAAGGACGGCGCCUUCCUACGGCUCAAACGCCUCCGCGUGGCGCGAUCCGGGCGGAUCCUUGGCCGGAGCGACGACGCGCUCGAGGCUUUCCACGACAUCAAGACGACGAGUGGCGGCACGUUCGACGCCAGCGCCGCCAUGGCUCCCGACGGCCGCUCGCUCUGCAUUCUGCGCCAGGAGGAUGACGGUGCCGGUGAGCAACCCCAUGCCCUGCACCUAACUCUGCAGCAGCCGCAGACCCACACAUCCCCGGAUCUGCAGCUGCAUCUUCCUCUGCCGGAGAUUCAAGCAGGGAGGAGUCGUAACUGCAUGCCCAUCUCCGCCGGCGGCUACAUCUGGGCUCUGUGCCCCAUCUUGGAAUAUGGCGUCAAGUUGAGCCUCCUCAUGCGACCCCUGCAUCUGCUCCCCGGGGACGGCCAAUGGGAGCAGGUCGGCAACAGCUGCCCACACAAAGAUGACAAGGGCGAGUACCCGUGGUUGGCUGGCGGGUUCCUCCAGGGCUACGCCGUGCUCCCUGGCCCCCUCAUCCUUGUCUCCUUCAAACAAGACGGCCUCUUCUUCACCUUCGCCCCCGGCUCCCGCGACUGGACCCCGGUGCUCACCGAUGAAACAAGGCCACCGCUAGACUACAUCCCUAUCCUCGGCCGCGCCGUGUACAUGGAGCAAGACAAGGCCAUCUACACGCUCCGUGGUAACACCAUCUACGCCUACAAGCUCAGCUACAUACACCAGGGUGAUGGUGAUGAUCAGGGGAGGGUGAGGCUGAGACUGGAUCCGCCCAUCACCAUCGACUCUGUAUCUCCUUUCAAUUCCUGUAAUGGGUGUGGCUUCCUCACCCGUCUUGAUGGUCGGCUCAUGUGCUCCGUCUGGAUCAGCCUGGCAUCACGUGAACAGUUAGAUCAAUGCCAGUGUGACAACCUACAUGCCAUCGUCACCACCUUCAACCUCCAUGACCCGGCUCAGGGGGGAAUACAGGUGCUGCAUUCCUCUUUCCGCCGGGUAGACAUGGAGCCCAAUCCAGAGGACCAGGAAUUCUGCUUUCUACAGGAGUACGAGGACAUGGACUCCCAGGUGCUGCUGCAACACCAAGAAGGGCAAGAGGAGUAUCUAACCAGUUCCCAGCAGCACGUCAACGAACCACCCUCCAACAAGCUUGAUUGUUGCAGAGACUUCAUCAAAAUGGAAGACUGUCCACGCCUUUGCUUUCGUUGCGGCAUCAACGGUCACUUUGCCCGCGAGUGCUCUCUCCCGCCACAUGAGCCCUUGCCGGCAAUGCCCCCCCGCACGCUGGUUGGCCGUGCUUCAAUGCAACACCGAGUCCCUUUCGAAAGGCGUCCGGUUGCUACAACAAGUAUCAAUAAAGAUCUGUUUAUCAUCUGCCAAGCUGGCUCACAACUAGUCAUCUACCAUACGGGCGUCAUGGAUGAGACUUCACUGUUACAAGGUGGAGAUGAUGGCAAGCCUCUCCAAACGUCGUGCUAUGUUGCACCUUAUGUCGGUGAUGGUGACAAUUGGCACUUUUUCCUUCACAGUGCCUCAAAAAUACAUGCUGUUUCGAGGAAAAAAGAUGGCAUGCUUGAGUUUAGUCUGAACAAGGACCGUACGUUGGCUAUGGAUCGUCUAUCUGUACGGCGGCUGCCAAGUGCUGAUACUUUUGUUUUGUUUAUCACAGUUGGUGGAGAGACCAUUGCUCUUACUGAUACUCUGGAAGUUUAUCAUCAGACAGGGUUCAGUUAUGGAUCCACCUUCUGGCUGCGAUGCAAGGCAGAUCAAUCGCAUGUUCUCGAGAGGAAGGUCAUGAUAUCUGGAUAUGUAGCAGUGAAUGGCGAUUCCUUUAUAGUCUCUGAUGCUCUCACAGGUUCCUGUCUUUUGUUUGACCUGUGUGCCAAGCAAUGGCGUGUUGUCAUGCCUUGGGCCGCAUUCUCAGAAGACUUGCCAAGGACUAGCCCUACAAAGUGCCCUUUAAAUGGUAGAUGUGUAUUUGUCGAUGGCUUUAUCUACACAUGCAGAGAUAGAGGGCUUGCUGCUUAUCAACUGUUUGAUAAAGAUCAUUCUGUGUAUCUCAGCGAGCCCAUCUUUUUGCGAUUCUCAUGGCUUGUAGAUGAUUGUGUGGGUGAGGACAUGUGCUUGGAUUAUGCUGGCAAAGAUGUGGACUCUGGUGCUAUUUUGUUUUACGUGGUGCAACUGCAAAGUGGAUAUCCUCCGCCCAAGCAUGAUGUACAGAUCACCAUUGUCCAGGUUAAGACUAAAGCAACAACCAGCAACAAGAAAAGGGAGCCAGUGGGAGUUACCCCUGUGGACUGUGUCACACGUUUCAUACAUCACAAGGAAGCCGUUGAUAUCAGAUGCUGCUUUGCGCUCUAG